This 374-nucleotide ribosomal RNA is filed under the name uncultured bacterium. RNAcentral's name for it is "bacterial SSU rRNA". It matches the Rfam family "Bacterial small subunit ribosomal RNA", at positions 30 to 396 of the family's 1533-position model. The record is from RNAcentral.
AUUGAACGCUGGCGGCAUGCCUUACACAUGCAAGUCGAACGGCAGCACGGGAGCAAUCCUGGUGGCGAGUGGCGAACGGGUGAGUAAUAUAUCGGAACGUGCCCAGUCGUGGAGGAUAACGUAGCGAAAGCUACGCUAAUACCGCAUACGAUCUAUGGAUGAAAGCGGGGGAUCGCAAGACCUCGCGCGAUUGGAGCGGCCGAUAUCAGAUUAGGUAGUUGGUGAGGUAAAGGCUCACCAAGCCGACGAUCUGUAGCUGGUCUGAGAGGACGACCAGCCACACUGGGACUGAGACACGGCCCAGACUCCUACGGGAGGCAGCAGUGGGGGAAUUUUUGGACAAUAGGCGGCAAGACCUCGAUCCACGCGAAUAG